This 98-nucleotide small nuclear RNA is filed under the name Catagonus wagneri (Chacoan peccary). The record is from RNAcentral. Lineage: Eukaryota; Metazoa; Chordata; Mammalia; Artiodactyla; Tayassuidae.
UUGCUUUAGCAGAAUACACACUAAAAUUUGAAUGAUACAGAGAUUAUCAUCCCCUGCACAAGAAUGACACACAAUUUAGUGAAGUGUUCCAUAUUUUC